GGCAAAUUUUGUCCUUGCUUCCUACACUGGGGGCUAUUUUCAUAUAAUUUAUUUUAUAUUAAAAGGUUUAAUGCCCAAUGAUGUUUGCAAAUCUAUAGUAGAGUGUUGCUGUCUGAACCAUUAAACAUGUUUAUGUAAAUCAUCCAGCUACAUUGUAAUAAUGACUUAUCAUUACAUCAUAAAGAAUUAUGUAAUAUGAAAAAACAUUCUAAAUAAAAUGACCUCAAUGUGAUUAAAUCUUAAGCAAAAGUCACUAUGAAAUGCAUAGUUACUCUUAAUGAGCUUUUAUGAAGUCCCUUUGACCUCCUUGGUAAACUAGAUUCCCACAGGAACUAAGAAUGUGUAUAGCACACAGGAAAGAGGUGCUCAGAUGCCCCUUUGGCAACCUGGUAAAGGCUAUACAUCUCUUCUCAGAAUAA
Molecule: long non-coding RNA, 419 nt
Filed under: Monodelphis domestica (gray short-tailed opossum)
Lineage: Eukaryota; Metazoa; Chordata; Mammalia; Didelphimorphia; Didelphidae
Description: lncRNA (ENSMODG00000040545.1)
Source: RNAcentral